UACGUAGGGUGCAAGCGUUGUCCGGAAUUAUUGGGCGUAAAGAGCUCGUAGGCGGUCUGUCACGUCGGCUGUGAAAACCCGAGGCUCAACCUCGGGCCUGCAGUCGAUACGGGCAAACUAGAGUACUGCAGGGGAGACUGGAAUUCCUGGUGUAGCGGUGAAAUGCGCAGAUAUCAGGAGGAACACCAGCGGCGAAGGCGGCGCUCUGGGCCGGUACUGACACUGGAGGAGCGAAAGCGUGGGGAUCAAACAGG
RNAcentral lists this ribosomal RNA (254 nucleotides) under uncultured bacterium. RNAcentral's name for it is "partial 16S ribosomal RNA". It matches the Rfam family "Bacterial small subunit ribosomal RNA", at positions 524 to 776 of the family's 1533-position model. The record is from RNAcentral.